AUCAAGCUACUCAAAUAAAGCAUUUGGUGGAUGCCUUGGCAUAAUGUGCCGAAGAAGGACGUAUAAGGCCACGAAAGUCGUCGGUGAGGAGCCACAAUCCUGUGACCCGGCGGUGUCCGAAUGGGGAAACCCCUGCAUAUGUAAAUAUGCGGAACCACUCGCCUCAUAGCGAGGAGGUAGGUAACCUGGAGAACUGAAACAUCUAAGUACCCAGAGGAAAAUAAAUCGAAUGAGAUUCCCUUAGUAAGCGGUGAGCGAAAAGGGAGAAGCCCAAACCAGUAUUUAUACUGGGGUUGUAGGGUCAGAUAUACGCUAGGAUGACAAUAGUAGAACACCGUGGAAUAGGUGACCAUAGAACGUGAUAGUCGUGUAUACGAAAUUUAAUUCUUAGUAAUUUGAUACCUGAGUAUAUUGGGAGACGGCAAACUCCCUGUAGAAUCCGCCCCGACCACGGGGCAAGGCUAAAUACACAUUAUGACCGAUAGUGAACAAGUACCGUGAGGGAAAGGUGAAAAGAAGGGUUUAACACCCAGUGAAAUAGUACCUGAAACCAAAUGCUAACAAACAGAUAGAGCUUCGGCAUUAGCCGGGGUGAUAUCGUGCCUAUUGAAGAAUGACCCGUCGAGUUUGUCUGUACCGCAAGUCUAAGUGAUAGUACGUCACGGAGGCGUAGUGAAAGCGAGGGUGAAUAGCCCGAAUUUAGCGGUAUGGUCAAGACCCGAAACUUGGUGAGCUAACCAUGAGCAGGUUGAAUGUACAGUAAAAUGUACAGGAGGACCGAACCAUUGACUGCUGCAAAAGUCUUGGAUGACUUGUGGUUAGGGGUAAUAUGCCAAUCGAACCAAGAGAUUGCUGGCUCUCCCCGAAAUAUAUUUAGGUAUAGCCUCGAGUGAAUCCAUAAGGGGGGUAGAGCACUGAAAAGGUGUAGGUUCGCAAGAGCUUCCACUUUAUCAAACUCCGAAUACCCAUAUGGUCUACUCGGGAGUCAGUACGCGGGAGCUAAGUUCCGCGGGCAAAAGGGGAACAUCCCAGAUCGUCAGCUAAGGUCUCAAAAUCAUAACUAAGUGGUUAAGGAAGUCAUUGUCCAUAAACAGCUAGGAGGUCGGCUCAGAAGCAGCCAUCCUUGAAAGAAAGCGUAACAGCUCACUAGUCGAUCGGAUAAUGGCGCCAAAGACGUAUCGAGGCUCAAGUUAUGUACCGAAGCUACGGAUUCAUGCGUGCUACACACGCUAGUUAUAAAGUUCCAAGUUCCAAGUUUCUAAAGAUAAUAACUUUAUGAACUUGAUAGACUUGAUAAACUUUUGACUAACAUGUGUAGCAUGUAUGUCUGGUAGGGGAGCGUUUUAACAACUGUGAAGUCGUCCUGUAAGGGGCGGUGGAGUGGUUAGAAGUGAGAAUGGCGGGAUGAGUAGCGAGAAAGGGGUGAGAAUCCCCUUCACCGAAUGUCCAAGGUUUCCCCGGCAACGUUCGUCGUCCGGGGGUUAGGCGACCCUAAGGUGAGGCUCAUGUAAUGUGGGCGUAGCCGAUGGAUUACCGGUUGAUAUUCCGGUUCUCUAAUGCGUUCGUUAUUUAGUUGGGGAGUGACGGUCUAGGAUAAGUAGGGCCUCUUAUUGAAUUGGGGUCUAAUCGUCAAAGCAGUUGGGUAUAGGCAAAUCCGUACCUGGCGUUUCAACCUGAGGCGUGAUGGAAAAUGGCGGUUUCGGCCGCUGUGAUUCUACCGACUUCUGGAUCCCAGAAAAUCUUCGCAACGAGAAUGUAUUAGAUCCGUACCGCAAACCGACACAGGUGGACUGGUAGAGUAUACCAAGGUGAGCGAGAGAACCUCUCUUAAGGAACUCGGCAAAUUAGCUAGGCGUAACUUCGGGAGAUGCCUAACCUGUAUUUUGGUACUUGUAUCAAGAUAUGGGUCGCAGAUAAAGAUUAUGGAGUGACUGUUUAACAAAAACACAGGUCUGUGCGAAGUCGUAAGACGACGUAUACGGGCUGAGGCCUGCCCAGUGCCGGAAGGUUAAUUGCGGGGAUGAUCCUAUUUAUUAGGUUAGUCUCCAAUCGAAGCCCCGGUGAACGGCAGCAGUAACUAUAACUGUUCUAUGGUAGCGAAAUUCCUUGUCGGGUAAAGAACUUGCCCGAAUUGCAGAGUAAUUUGCAAAAAGCAAACUGACUAAAAUCGGUGAAAGCUAACCCACAGCUAUGUGGUAUGCUAAUACCGAGGGAACUUCCGACUAACAAAGUCGAGAAGGCACCGUAACGACUAAUCCGAAAGGAGAGAUCCCACAUAUAUAAUGUGAGAUAAUACGUCAGCUCUUGUAGACAAAAGGAAACAAUGGAGUUUGCAUCAUAUAUUACUGGUUUUACCGAUGGAGAAGGGUCGUUUUCAAUCUCAUUUUCACGUCGUAACAAAUUGCGCACAGGGAUUGAAGUAAAGCCAAGUUUUUCGAUUUCGCAACACAAGCGAAGUCUCAAAGUUCUCCAGGAGAUAAAACAGUAUUUUGGUGUUGGUGCUAUCCGAUUUUCAGCAAGUGAUCAAAAUUACAAAUACGAAGUUAGAUCAAUCAAUGAUCUAGUUCAUAAAAUAAUUCCUCAUUUCAAGGCUUACCCCUUGAAAACCUCCAAAUCAAAAGAUUUUGAGAUCUUUAGUGAAAUAUGUCAGAUGAUUGUGACAAACAAACAUCGAAGCGUUCAAUAUCUCGCAGGGAUAAUUGACCAGGCAUAUCUCAUGAACGAAAGUGGGAAGCGCAAGUACACAAAGCAAGUUCUCCUAAAGUUUCUUACAAGAUGAAGAUAUAGUCUAACAGAUUGUGAAAACAAUUUUUUAAGGAAAUGAAGUUCCGACCUGCACGAAUGGCGUAACAAUUCCAUAACUGUCUUGAGAGGGGGCUCGGCGAAAUUGAAAUGGCUGUGAAGAUGCGGCCUACUGAUAGUAGGACAAAAAGACCCCGUGGAGCUUUACUGUAUCUUGACACUGAAAUUUAUGUUUUGACUGUGUAGCGUAGGUGGGAGCCGCAAGGCAACAAUGUAACACCACUCUUUGAAACGUGAAUUUCUUACCUGUUCUGACUGGAUCGUCAGAGGGGACACUGUCUGGAAGGCAGUUUAACUGGGGAGGUUGCUUGCUAAAGAGUACCGCAAGCGCGCAAUGGUAUCCUAAUUCCGAAUGGAAACCGGAAUGAUAGUGCAAGGGCAUAAGGAUGCCUGACUGUGAGACCUACAAGUCAAGCAGAGACGAAAGUCGGACCUAGUGAUCCUCGUGUACUUCGUGGGAGGUACCGGGCUUAUCGGAUAAAAGCUACCCCGGGGAUAACAGAGUAGUUGCACCUGAGCGUCCACAGCGACGGUGCAGUUCGCUACCUCGAUGUCGGCUCAGCACAUCCUAGGGCUGGAGAAGGUCCUAAGGGUUAGUCUGUUCGCCUAUUAAAGUGCUACGUGAGCUGGGUUCAGACCGUCGUGAGACAGGUCGGUCUCUAUCCUCUAUCAGCGUUGGAAUUUUGAGGGAAGUCGUUCUUAGUACGAGAGGACCGGAAUGAGGUAACCGCUAGUGUUCCUAUUGUACCCGUCAGGGGCAUUGUAGGGUAGCUACGUUACUAAGUGAUAACCGCUGAAAGCAUCUAAGCGGGAAGCACGUCCCAAGAUGAGAAUUCCUUGUUAAUCGCAAGAUUAACGAUAGAUUCCUGGAAGAACACCAGGCAAUCGGCGGAAGGUGUACGCACAGUAAUGUGUUUAGCUUAUCCGUUCG
RNAcentral lists this ribosomal RNA (3733 nucleotides) under bacterium. RNAcentral's name for it is "23S ribosomal RNA". It matches the Rfam family "Bacterial large subunit ribosomal RNA". The record is from RNAcentral.